AUACUUACCUGGCAGGGGAAGUACCAUGAUCACAAAGGUGGUUUCCCCCGGGCGAGGCUCACCCAUUGCACCCUGGGUGUGCUGACCCCUGCGAUUUCCCCAAAUGUGGGAAACUCAACUGCAUAAUUUGUGGUAGUGGGGGACUCCAUUCGCACUCUCCCCUG
Small nuclear RNA from Suncus etruscus (white-toothed pygmy shrew), 164 nucleotides. RefSeq annotates it as U1 spliceosomal RNA. The transcript has a single exon. The record is from RefSeq and is a predicted model, not a curated record. Lineage: Eukaryota; Metazoa; Chordata; Mammalia; Eulipotyphla; Soricidae.